This 62-nucleotide non-coding RNA is filed under the name unclassified sequences. RNAcentral's name for it is "L2-Alphaproteobacteria ribosomal protein leader". It matches the Rfam family "L2-Alphaproteobacteria ribosomal protein leader". The record is from RNAcentral.
GGGGAGCUUCGGCGCCCUUAACCUCGGGUCGCAAGACCUGGAUAGCAAGCGGAAGACAGUAA